GCCCAGAUGGGAUUAGCUUGUUGGUGAGGUAACGGCUCACCAAGGCGACGAUCCCUAGCUGGUCUGAGAGGAUGACCAGCCACACUGGAACUGAGACACGGUCCAGACUCCUACGGGAGGCAGCAGUGGGGAAUAUUGCACAAUGGGCGCAAGCCUGAUGCAGCCAUGCCGCGUGUAUGAAGAAGGCCUUCGGGUUGUAAAGUACUUUCAGCGGGGAGGAAGG
RNAcentral lists this ribosomal RNA (223 nucleotides) under Salmonella enterica. Its description in RNAcentral is "partial 16S ribosomal RNA". It matches the Rfam family "Bacterial small subunit ribosomal RNA", at positions 229 to 451 of the family's 1533-position model. The record is from RNAcentral. Lineage: Bacteria; Pseudomonadati; Pseudomonadota; Gammaproteobacteria; Enterobacterales; Enterobacteriaceae.